GGACUAUGUCAUUAAAUCUUUGAGUAAUAUUCUUCCCUCUCUUUUUUUAUAGAUUUGGAGACCAGAGACUUGGUUCUUGACCAAACAGUGACAGGGAUUUUGGGGGAGGAGGUCUACUUGCGUUGUCUGUACACUGGACAGAGUAACAUCUUGUACUCCUCCUGGAACCGUUUUGAUUCUACAAAGAAGGCAAAGAAAAUGGCAGGCUAUAAAUCCAGUGCCAGUUUUUUCAACAGAGAAAACUUUGGCAUCCCGGCAUCAAUUACAAACCUUACUGUAAAGAUAAAUGUGACAAGUUUUGAUCAAGAGGGAGAAUACACUUGUGGCUUCGACUCUGAAGAGGAUGAAACAAAGGACACCAUGUUUCUCAGUGUUAUUGCUCGGCCUGAUGUUGACAUAACUGUGAAAGAGGAAGUUGUGAAUAGGACCCUCUACCAUGCUGUCACUUGCUCUGCCUCCGGUGCCAAGCCUGAGGCUGUGAUUAGAUGGGAGAUCUCUGGUGCCCUUCCAAGAGACGACAUCUUCUCUGUGAACAUGAUUAAUCCAGUUCAUCCCAAUGGCACAGCCAGUUCAAUCAGUGUACUUCGCUUCCCCCUAAUUAUGAAUAAUGAGAGCACUGUUACCUGUGUGGUUGAGCAUCCAGCUUUUACUGAACCCAAAAGAGCCAACAUAGAGGUGGACACAUUUGUUUAUCCUGUUAUAAGCAUGGAGACCUUCCUGGUCCAAGAAGAAGGAGAAGACUUUCAAGAGGUCAUCUGUACAGCAACAGGAGGGAGGCCACAUCCAAAUAUCACGUGGAUACUGCCUGAAUUCAAAAACAUGCCACCUUUAGAGAGAAAUGUCUCCAAACCAGAUUCAGUUAUCAGUUCAUAUAGGUUCCCAUCAGAUCCUUAUGAAGGAGAAAAUAUAUUUUGUGUCUUUAGCUACAUGUUUCUCCCAUUCAUAAACAAAAGGACAUUCACUUUGCCAAUUUACUACCUUUCCUCACUUCAGCUGAAGGACCUUGAUUAUGCCAUUAACCGUGAGAAUCAGACUUCACUGGCGCUUGUGGAGGGGGACACGGACAUUACAAUCAGGAUGGAUGUUUUGGGCAAUGUACCAAGUUAUAAAAUGAAAUGUUCCAGGGAAGACCAACCUCUCCCUGAGGAUGUGGAUGUGGUUGGCAGUGAUCUCUUUAUCAGAGGACCCAUACAGCUGCACCUUGUCGGACAAUAUCUCUGUCAGGCCUCUUACCGUAGACAUCAGGCUUCCUUGCAGUUCACAAUCAAAGUAAAUCCAAAAGUCCUACUGCCAGUGACAUUUCCCCCAAAUAUCAGUGUGAAUUUUGUAGAGAAUUCAGACUAUGUUCACAUUGAGUGUUUGGCCUCCAAUGCUGUUCCCGCUGCAAAUGUGUCCUGGAUUCUUCCACAAGAGAUUAAUAGUACAAUUCAUUCUGAAGACACACACUAUAAUGGAUCUUGUUCUGUCAGAAGUGUGUUGACUGUGCCUAGCUGCAUGACCCGUAAAUAUGCAGUUGAGUGCGUAGUCGACCAUCCUGACUUCAUGGAAAAAGAAAGGCGGCAGAUUCCUCUUCCUGUGUGUGCACCACCGAAUAUAACCCUGCAGUCUGGUGUUGAAUGGGACAAUGGCAUUAUAUACGCAUGGCUGGUGUGUUCAGUGCAGAGCCAGACCCCAGCAGCGGCCAUCACCUGGGCUGUAGAGCGCCAUGUCAUUGAUAUUAGCUCUAGUGAAUUUAUAAUGACUCAACCUGUGUUUCAGGAGAGUCAUAUGGUUGUUGCUCAGAGCACGGCGCGUAUUCCUAUUUACUCACAUGCCGGAUGCAGCGUGACCUGUGUGGUUGAGCAUCGAGGGUUAGAGAAACCAGAGAACAAAAGCAUUGUCCUCCCAUCCUUAGGGCCAUCUGCAAGCCGCGCAUUUCUGGGUGAAGAGAGAUACACUCAGAUUUGGCAUGCUGUGUGUGAGUACAGCGGUGAUGGGGUGGAACCCAACAUCUCCUGGGUCCUUCCUGAUGAAGACACUGUAACUCAGCCGACUACUGAGGUCAAAUAUAAUGGAAUUAAAGUAGAAGUCAAUUCAACUCAUGAAUUUCAACUCAGUCAGUAUGAGGGGAAAGAUUUAAUAUGUCUGAUCCAGAACAAGCUCGGCAGGGAUGAGAGACGGACAAUACGAGUUCCAAAAUACUCUAUCUCAUCUAUUGAGGUUUUAAACGAAACCACACUUGAUCGUAGAAGUCAUGGCCAGAAUGAGCAUCGUUUAGCAUUGCAAGAAAACCUCUCAAAUCAGAAGAUACUUCUCAGAGCCCAUGGCAAUGCUCCAUCAUACAAGACCAUAUGUUACAGGGAGGACGGGUCAGCAGCUGACACCGUGGGCAUGGCAUUGGUUUUUACAGAACCAGUGUCUGAACUGGAUGCAGGACUGUACAUAUGCCACGUCUCGUACCACCACCACAUGGCUAAAGUUUUCAUUCGGGUGGAUGUAACUAGUGAAGAGACUCAACACAUGAUAUUCAUCACUAUUUGCUUCUCGUCAGCCGCUGCAAUCACCCUCAUCUUGAUUAUCAUUUUGGUUGUCCUCUGCAAAAGUGGGAGAAGUCACUCAUCACAAAAGAAGAAAGACAGGAGAGAGCGUGAGUCUCUAGCUGCUCUAAUGCAGGACCCUCGCUGCCCAGACAAGACUGUGAUUCCAGGCACAGCUGGGCCGCACUAUGCUGAGCUUGUGCACUAUUCCAUUGUUUUUGAUGCUAAAAGCACCGUGUGACACACCUGUUGAAUUUUAUGACCGUAAUAUAUACGCUUUUGCACAUACUUGUGGAGUUCAUCACAGCUUGAGUGCAUUAAAAGGGGGACAUGUUUAAGAAAUUAAUUCAUUUUCAGUCAGAUUGUUAUGCUGAUAAUGUAACUGGUAAUGGAAAAAAGAAAAAGAACAUUUGCUGAAAGUUUACUCAACCUCAGGCCAUCCAAGGUUUUAGAUGAAUUGUUUCAUCUGAACAGAUUUGGAGAAAUUUAGUUUUACACCAAUGGAUCCUCUGCAGUGAAUGGGUGCCGUCAGAAUGAGAGUCCAGACAGCUGAUAAAAACAUCACAAUAAUCCACAAGUAAUCCACACAACUCCAGUCCAGUGAAAACCUGCGUGUUUGUAAUAAACACAUCCAUCAGGAUUCUCCAAAUCUGUUCCGAUGAAGAAACAACUCAUCUACAUUGGAUGGCCUGAGGGUGAGUACAUUUUAACCAAAUGUUUAAUUUUGGAUGAACUAUUCCUUUAAUAAGAAUAUUUCACUAGUGGUCUUGGACCCCACUGUAUAUACACAUUGCAAUUGGUGUUUUUGAUAUGUAGCUGUUCUUUUUCCUCAAUUACAAAUACCAAUUGUAAGGAAAAUGAAGUAGCUUGGUAUUACUUUCAGCAUUAUGAUUUACUUUGAUAAGUAGCAUUGUUUUAUAAAUAUUAUAAGCACAUUUCAAUGUUUUACUACUUUUUAGGAUUGUUCUGAUUUACACAGAUGUUCUGAUAUGUUCUUCUUUACACAGAGAUAUACUUUAAAAAUCUGGCUGGUGUCUUCUAUCUUGUUUUCAUUCCAAUUGAACUUGUAGCACACGAACUGACUGAAUUUGUAACGCUGUAGAGCGCUCUGGUGAUCAUAAAGUAAAUAGUGGGGGAAUCCACAUCUGGGCCUGGUGAGUCCAGUCUGAUAUUUUAGUUAUAAGAUUGUACUGUUUUCACAGUCUUUGUUACAACGACGUCUGAUCCUCCUUUGUGUUGCUCUAAGAUGUUUAGGCAUCUCCGGGGUAAAUAAUGUGACUGUGACACUUGUAAAAAUACAAUAAAAUUCUUGACAAGUUUAAAUACUUAUCAAAUCUGUUUGUUUACCAAGUAAACACUGUUUCUAACCAUAAA
This is a long non-coding RNA of Sinocyclocheilus grahami, 3890 nucleotides long. Ensembl lists it as uncharacterized. Lineage: Eukaryota; Metazoa; Chordata; Actinopteri; Cypriniformes; Cyprinidae. The record is from Ensembl.